UAUCAACCGCUCAGCCAUCUCUCC
This 24-nucleotide transfer RNA is filed under the name Asimina triloba. Its description in RNAcentral is "partial tRNA-Ser". The record is from RNAcentral. Lineage: Eukaryota; Viridiplantae; Streptophyta; Magnoliopsida; Magnoliales; Annonaceae. RNAcentral also lists the same sequence under 15 other names.